GCAUUGGCAGCUCAGUGGUAGAAUUCUCGCCUUCAACACAGGAACCCGGGUUCGAUUCCUGGCCAAUGCC
RNAcentral lists this transfer RNA (70 nucleotides) under Loxodonta africana (African savanna elephant). It matches the Rfam family "tRNA". Rfam says of the family: Transfer RNA (tRNA) molecules are approximately 80 nucleotides in length. Their secondary structure includes four short double-helical elements and three loops (D, anti-codon, and T loops). Lineage: Eukaryota; Metazoa; Chordata; Mammalia; Proboscidea; Elephantidae. The record is from Rfam by way of RNAcentral.